Molecule: non-coding RNA, 292 nt
Organism: Cinara cedri
Lineage: Eukaryota; Metazoa; Arthropoda; Insecta; Hemiptera; Aphididae
Source: the annotation of a GenBank genome assembly
ACUUGUAUUUUUAGUAGUUUCUUAAUCAAAACCUAAGCACUUUGCGGGGAUGUAAAAGUACACUGUAAAACUUCGAAUAUCAAUGGAAAUUAGUCGAGACAGGUCUGGUAUAACAUUGGUGAGUUACAAACUACGUCUCUUCUUCAUCCGUUUGUUUUUCUAUUGGUAGCGGGGAACUCACGGCGGUUUUUUUUUCGUGAUUUUUAAAAAAUAAACCGUUCGCCGUUUGAAACGAAGCAACGAUUACACGACUAUUGCGGACGACAGAUUUGUACAUGUUAAACAGUUUUGG